This is a long non-coding RNA of Homo sapiens (human), 590 nucleotides long. RefSeq lists it as uncharacterized. The transcript is spliced from 4 exons. NCBI's taxonomy places the organism in Eukaryota, Metazoa, Chordata, Mammalia, Primates, Hominidae. The record is from RefSeq and is a predicted model, not a curated record.
GUUUCAAACUCCUGACUUCACGUGACCACCAGCCUCAGCCUCCCAAAGUGCUGGGAUUACAGGCGUGAGCCACCGAGACCAGCCUCACCUCAUUCACUCUUACCUGGACGCCUGACUUUACUUGAGAUACAGGCAUAGUGAUUCUCAGCAGGAAACAGCCUGCCCCCACGUCACGCCCAGAGACCCAUCACUGGCUGCCUGGCUUGGUGACAAAGUCCAUGCAGACGGAGUUUCACCAUGUUGGCCAGGCUGCUUUCGAACUCCCUAUCUCAGGUCAUCUGACUGCCUCAGCCCCCCAGAGUGCUGGGAUUACAGGUGUAAGCUACUGUGCCCAGCCAAAUUUCCUUCCUAAUUUCUUCAUUGAACCACUGGCCAUUCCGGACCAUAUUGUUUAAUUUUCACGUACUUGCCUUGUGACCUAACAUAUGGUGUAUCCUUGAGAAUGAUCCAUGUGCUGAGGAGAAGAAUGUGUAUUCUGCAGACUUUAGACGAAGUGUUCUAUUUCUAAUCAGAAACAUGGAGGCCAGGAAGCAGUGGAGAAUGACGACCCUCAGGCAGCCCUGGAGGAUGCUGUCACAGGCUGGGGCAAG